GAGUUUGAUCCUGGUUCAGAACGAACGCUGGCGGCGUGCCUAACACAUGCAAGUCGAACGGGGAUAGAUAGCUUGCUAUUUAUUCUAGUGGCGCACGGGUGAGUAACGCGUAGAUAAUCUGCCUUGGACUCUGGGAUAACAUUUCGAAAGGGGUGCUAAUACCGGAUAAGCCCACGGGGACGUAAGUUCUUGCGGGAAAAGGGGGCCUCUGCAUAUGCUCUUGAUCCAAGAUGAGUCUGCGUACCAUUAGCUAGUUGGUAGGGUAAGAGCCUACCAAGGCGACGAUGGUUAGCUGGUCUGAGAGGAUGAUCAGCCACACUGGAACUGAGACACGGUCCAGACUCCUACGGGAGGCAGCAGUGGGGAAUUUUGCGCAAUGGGGGAAACCCUGACGCAGCAACGCCGCGUGAGUGAUGAAGGCUUUCGGGUCGUAAAGCUCUGUCUAGAGGGAAGAAAUGAUAUUGGGUUAAUACCCUGAUUUCUUGACGGUACCUCUGAAGGAAGCACCGGCUAACUCCGUGCCAGCAGCCGCGGUAAUACGGAGGGUGCAAGCGUUGUUCGGAAUUAUUGGGCGUAAAGCGCGUGUAGGCGGUUUGUUAAGUCUGAUGUGAAAGCCCCGGGCUCAACCUGGGAAGUGCAUUGGAAACUGUCAGACUUGAAUACGGGAGAGGGUAGUGGAAUUCCUAGUGUAGGAGUGAAAAUCCGUAGAUAUUAGGAGGAACACCGGUGGCGAAGGCGGCUACCUGGACCGAUAUUGACGC
Molecule: ribosomal RNA, 761 nt
Filed under: uncultured Geobacter sp.
Lineage: Bacteria; Pseudomonadati; Thermodesulfobacteriota; Desulfuromonadia; Geobacterales; Geobacteraceae
Description: bacterial SSU rRNA
Rfam family: Bacterial small subunit ribosomal RNA
Source: RNAcentral